GACGAACGCUGGCGGCGUGCUUAACACAUGCAAGUCGAGCGGUAAGGCCCUUUCGGGGGUACACGAGCGGCGAACGGGUGAGUAACACGUGGGUGACCUGCCCUCAGCUCUGGGAUAAGCCUGGGAAACCGGGUCUAAUACCGGAUAUGACUCCAUGACGCAUGUUGUGGGGUGAAAGCCUUGUGCGGCUGAGGAUGGGCCCGCGGCCUAUCAGCUUGUUGGUGGGGUGANGGCCUACCAAGGCGACGACGGGUAGCCGGCCUGAGAGGGCGACCGGCCACACUGGGACUGAGACACGGCCCAGACUCCUACGGGAGGCAGCAGUGGGGAAUCUUGCGCAAUGGGCGAAAGCCUGACGCAGCGACGCCGCGUGA
Molecule: ribosomal RNA, 374 nt
Filed under: uncultured bacterium
Lineage: Bacteria
Description: bacterial SSU rRNA
Rfam family: Bacterial small subunit ribosomal RNA
Source: RNAcentral